This 209-nucleotide ribosomal RNA is filed under the name uncultured bacterium. Its description in RNAcentral is "partial 16S ribosomal RNA". It matches the Rfam family "Bacterial small subunit ribosomal RNA", at positions 568 to 775 of the family's 1533-position model. The record is from RNAcentral.
CUCGUAGGUGGCCAACUAAGUCAGACGUGAAAUCCCCAGGCUUAACCUGGGAACUGCGUCUGAUACUGGAUGGCUUGAAUUCGGGAGAGGGAUGCAGAAUUCCAGGUGUAGCGGUGAAAUGCGUAGAUAUCUGGAGGAAUACCGGUGGCGAAGGCGGCAUCCUGGACCGAGAUUGACACUGAGGAGCGAAAGCUAGGGGAAGCGAAACG